Molecule: long non-coding RNA, 1136 nt
Filed under: Gouania willdenowi (blunt-snouted clingfish)
Lineage: Eukaryota; Metazoa; Chordata; Actinopteri; Blenniiformes; Gobiesocidae
Description: lncRNA (ENSGWIG00000006598.1)
Source: RNAcentral
UGGAAAAAGGACUGGGAGAACUUGCAAAGACAAGGCGAACCCACCGGAUCUGUCGAAGUUAAAAAGAUACAACUCGUGGAUAGCAUUGAAGACAAGAUAAUCAAAGACCUGAGACUGUCCACAUAUUCCUCUGCUGAAGAGAUGUUCAGAGUUCUUGGGAACAAAUAUGGAAAUAAGUCUGCAAUUGCACUUGAGAUACUCGAAGACUUGGAGAGAUUACCCCCUAUUCGAGGAAAUCAACCACGCAAGGUCAUUGAUCUCAUCCAGGCAGUUGAGAAGGCACUAACUGAUCUCAUUGAACUCGACAGCACCAGUGCAAUAAAGAAUCCACUGGCCAUACGAAAUAUCGAAUGCAAACUCCCUGAAUUUGUGAAACGAGACUGGAUUGUUCAUAUGAUGGAGCCAAGCAACGGCGUGACUAGCGAGAACCAUUUCGACAUGCUUGUGAGGUUCGUUAAAAGGCAGGAGGGUGUACUGGAAAGGUUGGAGCAGUUAAAAGUAACAGAGAAGCCUGACAACUUUCCAGCUAAAAGGCCAGAGAAAAGAUUUGCCUCAACCAAGACCACAAAAAGGGAGCUUGCAAAUACAUGUGGAUUGUGUGGUGAUGAACGGCACUACAACAAACUCUUCUACUGCAGGAAAUUUAAAAAUCUAAGUGUACCAGAGAAGAGAGCCACACUGAAACGACUAGGGGCGUGCAAGAUAUGUCUUGGUUGGCAUACAAGAAGGGAAGACUGCAAGGAUACCUACCUUUGCAGGGAUCAAAAAUGUAGAAAGGAGGGUCCUCCAGAUCAUCAUUACUUCCUUUGUCUAAAAGAAAGUGAAGCGCAAUCACAGAAGUAUUGUGAUUUGAAGAAGCAAAGCAGUGCAGCUAGGAGCAACCUUACUUCCGAGCAGGAAAAGUUCCUGGAAGAAUUGUCACCAGAAAUGGCUGAAAGAUGCAAGAAGGCAUUCACCAAUGCAAACACUCGGGUGGGAACUCCACCGUCGUCACAACUUCUGCGGAAAAAUGAACUUUCCGAACCUCCUGUCAUAUUAAUGCUCAUGGAAGUCACAGCAAACGCAGGGCAGAAAGUCGGAACGCUCAUUGACCUCGCUUCGGACACAAAUUAUAUCACGCACAAGGCUGCUGAACG